AGAGGGGGCGCUCUUGGCUUUAGCUCCAAACGCCGGUUUGGGAGAGUAUUGUGAAGGUCUUCCGUUUUGCCGCCUCUGCAUUCUUUCCGGGCAGUAGAGUAUGGGCUGUGCUCCUUGCGGGAUUGCUAACUUAUGUUGAGGGACUUCUUGGGAGGCUCUGCUCUCAGCUUUGUCUACAUGAGCUCAUGUUAUCUUCACCACCAUCCCAUGAGCACCUUCCAGGCUAUGAGGAUAAUCAAAAAGAAGUGAUGGUGUGUUGCUUGAGUCUAAACAGCCUCCUGCCUUCCCUCCUCUCCUCCUUCCAUGUUUCUCCUCCUCCUCUCAGUGUCUCUCUCUACCUCUCCCUCUUUCUCCUUAGUUUUUGCCCAUGUUUAUAAUUAGGUGGAUGCUGUACGAGACAGUAGGAAUGUAAAUAAGAAUAGCUAUUCCUGCCCUUGAGGAACUUGCAGCUACUAGGAGGAAAAGACACAGAGGAAAUUCAAAUACCAUUUGAAGUACGGAGACCUCCAGGAACACCGAAGAAAGAUACCCUAAUCAGACAGUAAGGUCCAGCUCUGGCAUAAGAGAAAGCCCCUGAGGAAGGCCCCAGCCUGAGAAGGCUCUGGAAGGACAAGCCUGCACUGAGUUCUCUGAGCACAGGGCUCCAGGCUCUGAAAGAUCUCGGAAGCAGAGGCAGAAGGCAGAGGUAUCACCAGGAAGAUGCUCGGUGUCCUCAACCCAACCUCCAAGGCGAGACAAAGCCCAGUCAAAAGCAGCAGUGGGGUCUUCCAUGAUGGUCCAGUAACUAGAAGCUCCACGCCCCCAAUGCAGGGGGCCCAGGUUCCAUCCCUGGGCAGCGACCUAGAUCCCAUAUGCCUCAACUAAAGGUCCCACAUGCCACAACUAAAACCUGGCCCAGUCAAAUAAGUCAACAAACAUUAAAAAAAAAAAUCGGCAGUGCCCAACCACUGCACCAGCCCUACCCAGUACCUCUA
Long non-coding RNA from Bos taurus (domestic cattle), 974 nucleotides. The record is from Ensembl. NCBI's taxonomy places the organism in Eukaryota, Metazoa, Chordata, Mammalia, Artiodactyla, Bovidae.